GUGUUCUCUUUGGCAGCGCAUAUAUUAAUACCAAAACAGUAUGGAGAAGAUUAGCAUGGUCCCUGUGCAAAGAUGACACACAAAUUCACGGAGCGUUCCCUAUUUUU
Molecule: small nuclear RNA, 107 nt
Filed under: Neogale vison (American mink)
Lineage: Eukaryota; Metazoa; Chordata; Mammalia; Carnivora; Mustelidae
Source: RNAcentral